This 503-nucleotide ribosomal RNA is filed under the name uncultured bacterium. RNAcentral describes it as "partial 16S ribosomal RNA". It matches the Rfam family "Bacterial small subunit ribosomal RNA", at positions 30 to 523 of the family's 1533-position model. The record is from RNAcentral.
AUUGAACGCUGGCGGCAGGCUUAACACAUGCAAGUCGAGCGGGGUGAUGGUGCUUGCACUAUCACUUAGCGGCGGACGGGUGAGUAAUGCUUAGGAAUCUGCCUAUUAGUGGGGGACAACAUCUCGAAAGGGAUGCUAAUACCGCAUACGUCCUGCGGGAGAAAGCAGGGGAUCACUUGUGACCUUGCGCUAAUAGAUGAGCCUAAGUCGGAUUAGCUAGUUGGUGGGGUAAAGGCCUACCAAGGCGACGAUCUGUAGCGGGUCUGAGAGGAUGAUCGGCCAAACUGGGACUGAGACACGGCCCAGACUCCUACGGGAGGCAGCAGUGGGGAAUAUUGGACAAUGGGGGGAACCCUGAUCCAGCCAUGCCGCGUGUGUGAAGAAGGCCUUAUGGUUGUAAAGCACUUUAAGCGAGGAGGAGGCUCUUUUGGUUAAUACCCAAGAUGAGUGGACGUUACUCGCAGAAUAAGCACCGGCUAACUCUGUGCCAGCCGCCGCCGUAA